This is a small nucleolar RNA of Capra hircus (goat), 131 nucleotides long. The record is from Ensembl. Lineage: Eukaryota; Metazoa; Chordata; Mammalia; Artiodactyla; Bovidae.
AAGAAAGUCCAAACAAGAAAGGGUUUUAAUGUACACUCAUAUCAUUGAAAAUGCUUCAUAGAGUAACAAUGUGUUUUGCUUUACUUACAGAACCAAUUAUUAGAUCUGUGGCAAAGAACUACAAGACAUAG